GGGUUGUGAGGUUAAGCGACUAAGCGUACACGGUGGAUGCCCUGGCAGUCAGAGGCGAUGAAGGACGUGCUAAUCUGCGAUAAGCGUCGGUAAGGUGAUAUGAACCGUUAUAACCGGCGAUUUCCGAAUGGGGAAACCCAGUGUGAUUCGUCACACUAUCAUUAACUGAAUCCAUAGGUUAAUGAGGCGAACCGGGGGAACUGAAACAUCUAAGUACCCCGAGGAAAAGA
This 230-nucleotide ribosomal RNA is filed under the name Escherichia coli. Its description in RNAcentral is "partial 23S ribosomal RNA". It matches the Rfam family "Bacterial large subunit ribosomal RNA", at positions 1 to 222 of the family's 2925-position model. Lineage: Bacteria; Pseudomonadati; Pseudomonadota; Gammaproteobacteria; Enterobacterales; Enterobacteriaceae. The record is from RNAcentral.